AGAGUGAACGCUGGCGGUAGGCCUAACACAUGCAAGUCGAACGGCAGCACAGUAGGAGCUUGCUCUUACGGGUGGCGAGUGGCGGACGGGUGAGGAAUACAUCGGAAUCUACCUUUUGGUGGGGGAUAACGUAGGGAAACUUACGCUAAUACCGCAUACGCCCUUCGGGGGAAAGCCGGGGACCAGCAAUGGCCUGGCGCUGAUAGAUGAGCCGAUGUCGGAUUAGCUAGUUGGUGAGGUAAUGGCUCACAAGGCGACGAUCCGUAGCUGGUCUGAGAGGACGAUC
RNAcentral lists this ribosomal RNA (286 nucleotides) under uncultured soil bacterium. Its description in RNAcentral is "partial 16S ribosomal RNA". It matches the Rfam family "Bacterial small subunit ribosomal RNA", at positions 26 to 305 of the family's 1533-position model. The record is from RNAcentral.